Molecule: long non-coding RNA, 184 nt
Organism: Etheostoma cragini (Arkansas darter)
Lineage: Eukaryota; Metazoa; Chordata; Actinopteri; Perciformes; Percidae
Exons: 2
Source: RefSeq, a predicted model, not a curated record
CUGAAACGAUCUGAAACUCCAGUAUGACGGUGUGUAGCAUAAUAAAUCAAGAGUUUAGGAGAUUCUCCAGUUUUCUGAAGGUACCAGUGAAGGUAGUUACUAAUACCUGAACUGGCUUUACAUCUGAUAGAGACAGACUGUCCUGGAGCAACAGACUGAGAUCCAGGAGACUGAGUCAGGAUGA